Molecule: long non-coding RNA, 265 nt
Organism: Pan troglodytes (chimpanzee)
Lineage: Eukaryota; Metazoa; Chordata; Mammalia; Primates; Hominidae
Exons: 3
Source: RefSeq, a predicted model, not a curated record
GAUGGAGUCUCACUCUGACGCCCAGGCUGGCGUUCAGUGGUAUGAUCUCAGCUCACUGCAACCUCUGCCUCCCAGGCUGGCGUUCAAUGUACUUGUCUGCUCUUCAUUUUUGCAUUUCAAUCCUGUUCCAUCUGGGCUUUCUGUAGGAAUGAGGGUCUCACUCCUGUCACCCAGGCUGUUGUGCAGUGGUGUGAUCUGAGCUCACUGCAACUUCCACCUCCCAGGCUCAAGCAAUCCUCCUGCCUCAGUCUCCCAAAUAGCUGGG